RNAcentral lists this ribosomal RNA (256 nucleotides) under uncultured bacterium. RNAcentral describes it as "partial 16S ribosomal RNA". It matches the Rfam family "Bacterial small subunit ribosomal RNA", at positions 524 to 776 of the family's 1533-position model. The record is from RNAcentral.
UACGUAGGGUGCAAGCGUUAAUCGGAAUUACUGGGCGUAAAGCGUGCGCAGGCGGUGAUGUAAGACAGUUGUGAAAUCCCCGGGCUCAACCUGGGAACUGCAUCUGUGACUGCAUCGCUGGAGUGCGGCAGAGGGGGGAUGGAAUUCCGCGUGUAGCAGUGAAAUGCGUAGAUAUGCGGAGGGAACACCGAUGGCGAAGGCAAUCCCCUGGGCCUGCCACUGACACUCAUGCACGAAAGCGUGGGGAGCAAACAGG